CGACCGGCGCACGGGUGAGUAACACGUAUGCAACCUGGCUGUAAGAGGGGAAUAACCCGGAGAAAUCCGGACUAAUACCGCAUAAUACUUAGAAUCCGCAUGGAUUUUAAGUUAAACAUUUAUGGCUUACAGAUGGGCAUGCGUAUGAGUUAGCUGGUUGGAGAGGUAACGGCUCCCCAAGGCAACGAUCAUUAGGGGUUCUGAGAGGAAGGUCCCCCACACUGGUACUGAGACACGGACCAGACUCCUACGGGAGGCAGCAGUGAGGAAUAUUGGUCAAUGGGACGCAAGUCUGAACCAGCCAAAGUCGCGUGAAGGAAGAAUGUCCUAUGGAUUGUAAACUUUCUUUUGAAAGGGGAAUAAAGUACGGUACGUGUACCGUUUUGUAUGUACCCUUCGAAUAAGGAUCCGGCUAACUCCGUGCCAGCAGCCGC
RNAcentral lists this ribosomal RNA (434 nucleotides) under uncultured bacterium. RNAcentral describes it as "bacterial SSU rRNA". It matches the Rfam family "Bacterial small subunit ribosomal RNA", at positions 92 to 518 of the family's 1533-position model. The record is from RNAcentral.